Sceloporus undulatus (fence lizard) is the source of this 2750-nucleotide long non-coding RNA. RefSeq lists it as uncharacterized. The transcript is spliced from 3 exons. NCBI's taxonomy places the organism in Eukaryota, Metazoa, Chordata, Lepidosauria, Squamata, Phrynosomatidae. The record is from RefSeq and is a predicted model, not a curated record.
UGCUCAAUGGUAAGCGUGCGCUCUGGCACACGGUCAUCUGAAGAGAACUGAUGUGGUCUCUGAAGGAUAAUGGAAGAAAGUGAAUAAAAGAACACUAGAAAAAAAUAUUGAACGAAAAAGCACAACAAUUAUGAAUAGAAGCAAAGCUGAAAAUAAGGCACACACAGGUAUUGUAUUACCUCUCUGCAAGGACUUCCAAAGGGCUUGUUCCCAGAGACCAGCUUCGUACCAUCCAGGCAGAGUCCAUGGCAGCAAGAAAUCCCCUGGCUAUUCCAGUUCCCAUUGGCCAGAAUGGCUGAAAGAAACCAUGAAGAAGCAAUGUGAAAGAAAAGCACAAUUUUCCUGGGUCCACUGGAUAAGGUGACAUAUUCAAAAAGAAACCAACGCUGGUGCCAGCCAGAGGUCUAAGGGAAGGGCAUUCCAUAAUUGGGGCACCACAGCCAAGACCUUCUUCCAAAUCCUCCCACUGUGUACUGUUCUCACUGGUGGGGCAUAGAGGAGGGUUCCUCCUGAAGACCUCAGUUCUCGGCAGUGACAUAUAGACAGAAGUGCUCCUUGAAGUAUUAAGAUCCUAAGCUUUAAAUGUCAUCAUCAGCUCUGUGAAUUCAGACCAGAAGCAAACUAGCAGCCAGUGCAGCUACUUUAAGAGCAGUGUAACAUGUUGUCUACACACUACUCUGGUCAGCAAUCUUGCAGCCACAUUCUGCAUUAGCUGUAGUUUCCAAAUCAUCUUCAAGGGCUGCACUACAGAGAGUGCAUUGCAGUACUCUAACUGGGAAUUUACACAGGAUGUAUGGACUACUGUGACUAUCCUUGUUCAGGAAGAUUGGAGCUGGCACAGCCUAUCAGAACUGGCACCAAGAACUCCUUGUUACAGAGUGCACUUGCGCCUCAAAUGACAAAGAUGAAGAGUACUCCCAAACUAUGUCAAGUAAGCUGUCAGCCAGGGCAACCAAGGGGAAAUUGGCAGUGUGCCCCAGCUUGAAACCAGAGUGAAAUGGGCCCAGUUAAUCUCUUUAUUCCAAGAAUGUCUGAAGUUUCCCAGCCACCAAAACACACAAGCAUCUUGGCUAAAUGAGGGGAAUUAACAAUUGGUGCUAGCUGCAGAAGCAGAGAGUGUGGCAUCUUCAAGGUAGCAAGCACCUCUCCCUAGUACAGUGAGUCAUUUACCACCUCCUGGACCUACCUGUGCAAUCCAUUUCUGCUAGAUUUUAUUAGCCAAUAUGGACAAGGGUCAAGCCUACAUGUAUUAGAAUAAUCUAUUCAAGAGCCUUCUCCAUAUCAUCAGAUUACAAAAACUGAAACUGAUCCCAAGAAAUCUGAGCAGACAGAGCACUGGACAUUUCCUCACAUUCUGCAAUAACCAUGAUGUCAAGUUCUGGGCAAAUAUCAGAUACGUUCUCCUUGAAGUGUCUGACAAACUUGUCAUAGUAGGUAAUUGAGGACUACACUGCUGGUUUCUCUAGUCCUAAUCCCAACAAGCUUCUCACCACUCAAAAUAAUUCUGCUGGGUGGCAUGUUGAGGAUGUAAAACCAGAGGCACAGUAUGUUUGAGGUGAAUCUGUUCUAUCAUGUCAUAAUCCUACCACCUCUUCAUUCUACAUGUAUAGAACAGAUGUUGGCCAAGCGGUUCCAUUUAUGGGGAUAUGGAGUCCAGAGCAAGACCCCCAAAUCCCCACUUUCAUUUAUUUUACAGUAGCCAGGUUCAAACUUAAGGACAAUCCAAAUUGUAGUUUGUUAAAUGAUAGCUCACUGUUACAUCUACAACUGUCUUCUCAAACAAACAAUGGUUUGUUAGCCAGUGAAAAACAGUAACAAAAGUGCAUAAUGGUGUGUUGGUUUAUAAGCUCUGCUUUGUUGAAAUUUUGGUUUGUUAUUACAGUGGAACCCAGGAUCCAACUUGUUUUCCCUACUGUCCACUUUGAAACAAGAACAAUCAAAAUAAGGAAAGGAGACAAAAACAUACCAGAAAUAGGGAAAGUAAGUUGUGGUUUCGUUUGUUGUCAAUAAUACAAUAAAAAUAAGCCAUGUCUUAUCACGGUGCACAAACAAAACCAGUGUAGUAAGAAUAAAAUAAAAAGGAAUGUCCCAUCUCCAUCUAUUCAUUCCAGGAUCCUUUGAAGGUACUAUGGCAUACAAGUAUAAGAGAUGGUCCAUACUUGGGUACUGGUUCUUACAGCAAUUCUGUUGCAGCUGAGGUGAGGCCAGCAAAUGGGGAUUCACUGAGUGGUGACAGUAGGAAUUCUCAAUCCAGUUCAUAACUUUUAAGUCGGAGACUUAUACUGGCAAGUGAGAUCACCAAUCCAUCCAAACAGGAUAGAAAAGAUAAGGCCAAAGCCAGGGUAUCAAGAGAGGAAGAACAGGCAGCAUUAGCAAGAGCUGGAACUCACAAAGUACACUGUGAACUCUAUUAAUCUUUGGUACAUAACAUUUUUCAGAACAGCAGAUAGAGAAACUGCUGCCAGCAGUAUCUUGCCUUGCAGCAUAUUGCAAUAUAAUAGUUUCAGUGAAUUAUUUAAUUAUCAUCUCUUUGUUUGGAAAAAAAAAACACAAACAGAAGAUUAUUUGCUGGUAAAAAGUGGAAGUUUUUAUAUCCAGACGGUUGUGAUUUUUAAAAGGUAAAUGUGAAGAAACUGUAAUUGAAGUGUGUACAGUGGUACCUCGGGAUACGAAUUACCCAGCUUACGAAUUUUUCGGGAUACGAAAAAAUCCCAUAGGGAUUUAUUGUUUCGGGUUACGAACGUUUUUUC